Molecule: ribosomal RNA, 441 nt
Filed under: uncultured soil bacterium
Lineage: Bacteria
Description: bacterial SSU rRNA
Rfam family: Bacterial small subunit ribosomal RNA
Source: RNAcentral
AGAACGAACGCUGGCGGCAUGCCUAACACAUGCAAGUCGAACGAAGGCUUCGGCCUUAGUGGCGCACGGGUGCGUAACGCGUGGGAACCUGCCCCUUGGUUCGGAAUAACAGUUAGAAAUGACUGCUAAUACCGGAUGAUGACUUCGGUCCAAAGAUUUAUCGCCGAGGGAUGGGCCCGCGUAGGAUUAGCUUGUUGGUGAGGUAAAAGCUCACCAAGGCGACGAUCCUUAGCUGGUCUGAGAGGAUGAUCAGCCACACUGGGACUGAGACACGGCCCAGACUCCUACGGGAGGCAGCAGUGGGGAAUAUUGGACAAUGGGCGAAAGCCUGAUCCAGCAAUGCCGCGUGAGUGAUGAAGGCCUUAGGUUGUAAAGCUCUUUACCCGGGAUGAUAAUGACAGUACCGGAGAAUAAGCUCCGGCUAACUCCGCGCCAGCAGCC